AUGAUCAGCUUUCACUUGAAGGCAGUCAAACCACCUUUCCUAAUCUUUGUAUUCCUUUUCUCUCUCUACAAAGUUGGACUUGUAUCGAGCACUGGUGUUUCUCUCAGCCUCUCCAAGAUCCUGCCCCAUUUCUCCCUCAUGCAGGUGUUUCUCCUAAAACCAUCCGUUUCCAUUAAAUCACAGCGUGUCUGUUCUCAGGUCAAUCUUGGAGUCUCCUCAUCUGGGAACUCAGAUAAACCCAGGCAUCCUUCGUGUAACCUCUUCCAUCCAAGAAGAGCAAACAGGCAGAAGAUGACGGGUGAAAACAUAUCACACGAAAACGUGAAAGAAAAACAACCACCACCAGUCUCCUCCUUCUAGGUCAGGUGCAGAGACAUCACCGUUCACACCCACAGAGGCAUUUCCAGCUGGUGCCCUCAACCAGCACUGGGGGACCGUCUUCCCUACAGGUACAGGUAGGAACUACUCUAGACUUCGCGGUCAGAGGGUCUCUGUGGUGACUUCUCAACACUUCGAGGCAGCCUGAAGCCUGAGGUCACCCUCACACGGCCCAGGAAGGCAGAAAGAGCAUGGCUAUCUGCCCAUAAGACAUUACUGAGGGACGCUGGGAUUCGCAUCUAAUCUCCUUGCAUCAACAAAGACUCCUCUUUCCGACCAGAAUGAGGGUCUCUCCGUUGCUAUGUUUCUUGACACUCGAUAUGUGAACCGCACAGCAGGCUGAUUUUUAAAAUAACAUUUUAAAUGUUUCAAGUAACAUUUUAAAAAAGGGUACACACGUUAAGAGGAACAUCGGGAGAAAAACUUGGAUCUGAGACCCAGCUCAGACACACCUAUGGUACAACUUGAAGAACCCGCAUCUGUGGAAAACGACGCAAUGGGAACUCCCCUGUUGCCCAAGUCUGUGGAUUUUGGAGCAGCAAACGUGGAGGAAAAUGGAGAGACUCUGUAUUACCGAUCAUUUCCUAAGAACGAAGGUCACGUGGAAAGGAGCUGAGGUGGCUGGGAUCUGAUUAUUAAAGCCUGCAAUGGAGAAACAUAGUACUUGCAAAUGUGACAACAAACACAGCCAGGAAAAAAAUAGAAUUUCAUCAUAUUUCCUCUCCGUCCUUCUGCCUUGUUUAAAAAGUCAUUAAUAGUUAUGGUAUCAAUUGAUUCACGUCCACAACUUAGUCGCCAUGAUGGGACUGCCCCCAAGGUGAAAAUCAUUCUGGAAUGCUCCGGUCAGCAGUAAAUCUUCAAUUCAGAGGUUGAUGGGGAUCAAUAAAGGACAGCUGGAAGGAAACA
This 1284-nucleotide long non-coding RNA is filed under the name Felis catus (domestic cat). RNAcentral's name for it is "lncRNA (ENSFCAG00000045497.2)". The record is from RNAcentral. Lineage: Eukaryota; Metazoa; Chordata; Mammalia; Carnivora; Felidae.